RNAcentral lists this long non-coding RNA (2897 nucleotides) under Mus musculus (house mouse). Its description in RNAcentral is "brain-derived neurotrophic factor antisense RNA, transcript variant 2 (Bdnf-as)". Lineage: Eukaryota; Metazoa; Chordata; Mammalia; Rodentia; Muridae. The record is from RNAcentral.
CUCCACUACGCGUCCUUUCCGGAAGAUCGAGUAUCAAAAUAGCUCAAGAAUUGGGGAUGCAGGGUCCCCGCCCCGGUGCUUACCUUCUUUGCGGCUUACACCACCCCGGUGGCUAGAUCCUGGUGAUAAACACUUGCAUUUCCCAAAGUUAACCCAGUAUACCAACCCGGAGCUUGCCAAGAGUCUAUUCCAGCCUACACCGCUAGGAAGCCAACUUCAGCGAGCUCAAUGAGGGGACCAAACUGGGGCUCGCUCUCCAAACGCUCCGCUCCAAAAUCUGACUCUCUCUCCAGCCCCGAUCUCGGUGUGAGCCGAACCUCGGAAAAGACGCUUUUUAAGGGCGACACCGGGUUGGCUUGACAGCGAGGAAAAGAAUACCUGGAUGAAGUACUACCACCUCGGACAAAUCCGCUGGCUCUGUCCAAGGUGCUGAAUGGACUCUGCUCUCCGGGAUCACACACCCGGCGCAGGAGGAGGAAAAGAUGCAGGAAGGUAAUGUGUCUUGUUUGAAGUCAUCAUGUGAGAAGUUCGGCUUUGCUCAGUGGAUCGCCCACCACUUGGUGUGACUUAUGAAUCUAAUAACCCUUCGCAAUAUCCGCAAAGCUUCAACUCUCAUCCACCUUGGCGACUACAGAAGACAAAGCAACUGGCAUCGAUGUUGAAAAACCUAUAGAUUUACGCAAACGCCCUCAUUCUGAGAGACACGUUUCCCUUUGAGUUCUUACGUGAUUCUAAUGAAUGAGCGAGGUUACCAAUGACUGUCCAAUUGCCCUGCUAUAUAGCGGGCGUUUCCUGAAGCAGCUUUCUCAACGCCUGUCACUGAGCCCUAGCACAAAAAGUUCCCAGAGAAAGUGAGGGAGUUUCAGAGUACCCCCAUAAAAAUAAUCCAAUUUGCACGCCGAUCCUUUGCCCACUGCUCAGGUCACACCUGGGGCUCUGGCAAAGAUGAGCUCGGCUCAGGAGAUUUCCCUGUCGCCAGGUAAGAAACCCUUCGCCUUGUCAAGCUAGGGCGGGAAGACCGCUGGGGAACUUGUUGCUUUUCUGCACCAGCCGGCUACUGCUUUAAUAAGAAUACCAGAAAAGCGCAGCGGGGAGGGGGCGAGGGGAGGGGGCCAGGGCAGCCUCUCUGAGCCAGUUACGUGACCAACUCACUGUGACUCCCUUGGUAAAAAGGAAACUUCUUAGAAAAGUUCGUGCCCCUCCCCCACCAUGACUAAGGGUCUCCAGCGGACGUGGUCGUGAGUGAUGAUCAAAUGGGAGGGGGGGGGGGGGCUGGGUGAUGGAGCGGGAGUGACUUGUUCUAGGGAACAACUGCGUGAAUCGAAGAGCGCAUCAGCCCCACAACUUUCCCUUUUCCUCUUAGGGACUGAUGACUAGGCGAGAGGCACCCGGGCGAGCCACUAGUUGCCCACAGGAACCUGUGCAAGCCAAGCUCUCAAGCGGCUUGAGUUGAAUGAAGUUAUGACUGCGUUUGCUCUAAUGGCUUAUGGCUUCUCAAAUGAGAGUUAACAGCCUCUGUGCGCGGCUAGGUCCGCCCUGGAGCUCUGAGCGAAAAGGUGUAGGCUAGGAGGGGAAGAUCGGCGCUAGUCUCCCAGCUCCGCGUCGGCUCCGGCUCCGUGCUUCCUCCCCAGAGUCGCUGCCCUAUUUUGGGUGCUUCCCGGGGUUGAGAACUGAAGCCGCAAGCUCCAGGAGGUGGGCUUCGGGCGGGGGGGCUCUCCCAGGAAGCCUCGCGCUGGCCACUACACUUCCCACUAGUGACUGCGCAGGCUGGGAAGUGGAGAGGUCACGUGUUGGAGGAAAGUAAGUUGGAAGGAAAGAGAUGAACUUCAAGAAGAGUCACAAUAAAAUAAACCUCCUCCCCCCGUAUGUGUGUGCGCGUGUGCGCGGGCGUGUAAAAAUAAUCUCUUGAAAGGCGGAUGCGGUGGGGGAGGGGUGCAGUGGGGGAAGGGCAAGGCCCUUAGGCUGAGAUCCUAGGCAGAUGUCCGGAAAUCUCUAGAAAUGAGCUGUAAGUCCAGAGUUAACCAUAUCCCCCAACAUAGGGAGGCGCUAGCUCCAGGUAUCUCUUCACUAGAGUCUUCCUUUGCCUACCCUCAGCUUAGCUUACGCAGCGAAGCAGAGGAGCCGAGAAUGAAUGUAAUGUAAACCAGUUGUUAUGGAGAUACCCGCAGCUCGGAUGAGUGCGAGUGCCCUGGGAAGUCCCCGGACGCUGCUUUUCAGGUUUCCCCGGUUUGGUGCCGACACCAUGAUUUUGCUCUUCCUCUGGAGUUCCCACCAAUGGACCCCACCAAAGGCAUCACUGGCCCUGGCUGUGGCGCUAUUGACUGCAGGGAUGAGGCAGGGAGAUGUUGCGGAAGAUGGUGGAUAGCUCUGAAGUUUUGGACCACCCAGUCCUUUAAAAUUUCUGUUUCUUUAAUCAAAUCAAAUGUGCUGUGUUUGAAGGGAAUUCGUAGUUCUUGGUGUAUAAAAUCAGAGUUAUACAUAGGAUGAGUUUGAAGAACAUUAGCAUGCAGUGGCUGCUUCAAGGUUCAGGUCCCCUCCCCCUCCUAUCCUAAGAAUGCUUCUUUAAAGAAACCUAAGCGUUACUUCCUUAAUGCCUUCUGUGAAGUUCUGUUCUUGGACUCUCCAUUGGUACUAGAUUAUUAGUAUUAGCAGUAAAUCCAGUGUUGCGCAUUCAUAUGCACCCCUAAAGAGAUGUUUUCAAAGUCAACCCAGAUCAUUCUAGGCUCCAGCCAACAUAUAUUUGUACAAAGGCUUUCUUUACCUCUUAGAGGCUCUUGGUGACCUGGUGUGCAUCAUCACUUAGAGAAUACCAUCCACCAGUUACAGUCACCAAGGCAACAGUUACCUCCAGCUAAAAACAAAAAACAAAAAUCAAAUAAAAAAGAAACAACACUGUU